UCGGAAGGACGACCUUCCGUAUGCCUUCUCUCCCGGGGACGACCCCG
This 47-nucleotide non-coding RNA is filed under the name Luteibacter sp. UNCMF366Tsu5.1. RNAcentral's name for it is "Guanidine-II riboswitch aptamer (mini-ykkC)". It matches the Rfam family "Guanidine-II riboswitch aptamer (mini-ykkC)". From Rfam's summary of the family: Simpler in structure and has fewer highly conserved nucleotide positions than the ykkC-yxkD leader. Despite this each of its two stem-loop structures directly bind free guanidine. Lineage: Bacteria; Pseudomonadati; Pseudomonadota; Gammaproteobacteria; Lysobacterales; Rhodanobacteraceae. RNAcentral also lists the same sequence under 1 other name. The record is from Rfam by way of RNAcentral.